AGUGAACGCUGGCGGUAGGCCUAACACAUGCAAGUCGAACGGCAGCACAGUAAGAGCUUGCUCUUACGGGUGGCGAGUGGCGGACGGGUGAGGAAUACAUCGGAAUCUACUUUUUCGUGGGGGAUAACGUAGGGAAACUUACGCUAAUACCGCAUACGACCUACGGGUGAAAGCAGGGAUCUUCGGACCUUGCGCGAUUGAAUGAGCCGAUGUCGGAUUAGCUAGUUGGCGGGGUAAAGGCCCACCAAGGCGACGAUCCGUAGCUGGUCUGAGAGGAUGAUCAGCCACACUGGAACUGAGACACGGUCCAGACUCCUACGGGAGGCGGCAGUGGGGAAUAUUGGACAAUGGGCGCAAGCCUGAUCCAGCCAUACCGCGUGGGUGAAGAAGGCCUUCGGGUUGUAAAGCCCUUUUGUUGGGAAAGAAAAGCAGCAGGUUAAUACCCCGCUGUUCUGACGGUACCCAAAGAAUAAGCACCGGCUAACUUCGUG
RNAcentral lists this ribosomal RNA (491 nucleotides) under uncultured bacterium. Its description in RNAcentral is "partial 16S ribosomal RNA". It matches the Rfam family "Bacterial small subunit ribosomal RNA", at positions 29 to 507 of the family's 1533-position model. The record is from RNAcentral.